UUCGACCUGAGAUCAGGCGAGAUUACCCGCUGAAUUUAAGCAUAUUACUAAGCGGAGGAAAAGAAACUAACAAGGAUUCCCCUAGUAACGGCGAGUGAAGCGGGAAUAGCCCAGCACCGAAUCCCUCUGGCAUUUGCUCCAGACGGGAAAUGUGGUGUUUGGGAGGUCGACUGCAUCGUCGUCUGUCGUCCGAGUCCUCCUGAUCGGGGCUUCACCCAGAGCGGGUGUCAGGCCUCUACGGUCACGGGCGGCGGUGCUUUAGGCUUCCUAGGAGUCGGGUUGUUUGGGAAUGCAGCCUAAGCGGGUGGUAAACUCCAUCUAAGGCUAAAUACUGACACGAGUCCGAUAG
RNAcentral lists this ribosomal RNA (349 nucleotides) under Melinna palmata. Its description in RNAcentral is "eukaryotic LSU rRNA". It matches the Rfam family "Eukaryotic large subunit ribosomal RNA", at positions 1 to 340 of the family's 3401-position model. Lineage: Eukaryota; Metazoa; Annelida; Polychaeta; Terebellida; Melinnidae. The record is from RNAcentral.